UACGUAGGGGGCGAGCGUUAUCCGGAAUUAUUGGGCGUAAAGAGUACGUAGGUGGUCGUAUAAGCGCAAGGUGAAAGACCGGGGCUUAACUCCGGUGAGCCUUGUGAACUGUAUGACUUGAGUGCAGGAGGGGAAAGUGGAAUUCCUGGUGUAGCGGUGAAAUGCGCAGAUAUCAGGAGGAACACCGGUGGCGAAGGCGACUUUCUGGACUGUAACUGACACUGAGGUACGAAAGCGUGGGUAGC
RNAcentral lists this ribosomal RNA (245 nucleotides) under uncultured Eubacteriales bacterium. RNAcentral describes it as "uncultured Clostridiales bacterium partial 16S ribosomal RNA". It matches the Rfam family "Bacterial small subunit ribosomal RNA", at positions 524 to 769 of the family's 1533-position model. Lineage: Bacteria; Bacillati; Bacillota; Clostridia; Eubacteriales. The record is from RNAcentral.